ACUGUGGAGGUGGGGGUCUCUCAGCCAGGAUUGCGAGAGGGCGUAGGCUAGACUGAGGGACCCCACUGGUGCAUG
This 75-nucleotide microRNA precursor is filed under the name Myotis brandtii (Brandt's bat). RNAcentral's name for it is "mir-9193 microRNA precursor family". It matches the Rfam family "mir-9193 microRNA precursor family". The record is from Rfam by way of RNAcentral. Lineage: Eukaryota; Metazoa; Chordata; Mammalia; Chiroptera; Vespertilionidae.